This 430-nucleotide ribosomal RNA is filed under the name Pseudomonadota bacterium. Its description in RNAcentral is "Proteobacteria bacterium partial 16S ribosomal RNA". It matches the Rfam family "Bacterial small subunit ribosomal RNA", at positions 355 to 776 of the family's 1533-position model. Lineage: Bacteria; Pseudomonadati; Pseudomonadota. The record is from RNAcentral.
UGGGGAAUAUUGGACAAUGGGCGAAAGCCUGAUCCAGCCAUGCCGCGUGUGUGAAGAAGGUCUUCGGAUUGUAAAGCACUUUAAGCGAGGAGGAGGGUACUGGUAUUAAUACUACCAGCUACUGGACGUUACUCGCAGAAUAAGCACCGACUAACUCUGUGCCAGCAGCCGCGGUAAUACAGAGGGUGCGAGCGUUAAUCGGAUUUACUGGGCGUAAAGCGUGCGUAGGCGGCUAAUUGAGUCGGAUGUGAAAUCCCCGAGCUUAACUUGGGAAUUGCAUUCGAUACUGGUUAGCUAGAGUGUGGGAGAGGAUGGUAGAAUUCCAGGUGUAGCGGUGAAAUGCGUAGAGAUCUGGAGGAAUACCGAUGGCGAAGGCAGCCAUCUGGCCUAACACUGACGCUGAGGUACGAAAGCAUGGGGAGCAAACAGG